AGAGUUUGAUCCUGGCUCAGGAUGAACGCUAGCGGCAGGCUUAAUACAUGCAAGUCGAGGGGCAGCGCGGGGUAGCAAUACUCUGGCGGCGACCGGCAAACGGGUGCGGAACACGUACACAACCUUCCUUUAAGUGGGGAAUAGCCCAGAGAAAUUUGGAUUAAUACCCCGUAACAUUAUGAUAUGGCAUCAUAUUAUAAUUAAAGCUCCGGCGCUUAAUGAUGGGUGUGCGGCUGAUUAGGUAGUUGGCGGGGUAACGGCCCACCAAGCCUUCGAUCAGUAACUGGUGUGAGAGCACGACCAGUCACACGGGCACUGAGACACGGGCCCGACUCCUACGGGAGGCAGCAGUAAGGAAUAUUGGGCAAUGGAGGCAACUCUGACCCAGCCAUGCCGCGUGGAGGAUGACGGCCCUCUGGGUUGUAAACUUCUUUUAUAUGGGACGAAAAAGGGCCUUUCUAGGUCAACUGACGGUACCAUUUGAAUAAGCACCGGCUAACUCCGUGCCAGCAGCCGCGGUAAUACGGAGGGUGCAAGCGUUAUCCGGAUUUACUGGGUUUAAAGGGUGCGUAGGUGGGUUGGUAAGUCAGUGGUGAAAUCUCCGGGCUUAACCCGGAAACUGCCAUUGAUACUAUCAGUCUUGAAUAUUGUGGAGGUCAGCGGAAUAUGUCAUGUAGCGGUGAAAUGCUUAGAUAUGACAUAGAACACCAAUUGCGAAGGCAGCUGACUACGCAUAUAUUGACACUGAGGCACGAAAGCGUGGGGAUCAAACAGGAUUAGAUACCCUGGUAGUCCACGCCCUAAACUAUGGAUACUCGACAUACGCGAUACACAGUGUGUGUCUGAGCGAAAGCAUUAAGUAUCCCACCUGGGAAGUACGAUCGCAAGAUUGAAACUCAAAGGAAUUGACGG
RNAcentral lists this ribosomal RNA (912 nucleotides) under uncultured bacterium. RNAcentral's name for it is "bacterial SSU rRNA". It matches the Rfam family "Bacterial small subunit ribosomal RNA", at positions 8 to 916 of the family's 1533-position model. The record is from RNAcentral.